GGAGACAUAGUGGAGGUUAGUCAAGGAGACAGGUGGUGCAUGGUUGUCGUCAGCUCGUGUCGUGAGAUGUUGGGUUAAGUCCCGCAACGAGCGCAACCCUUAUUGCUAGUUACCAUCAUUCAGUUGGGGACUCUAGCGAGACUGCCAGUGAUAAACUGGAGGAAGUGGGGAUGACGUCAAAUCAUCAUGCCCCUUAUGACCUGGGCUACAAACGUGAUACAAUGGCUGAAACAAAGGGCAGCGAAGCAGUGAUGUGGAGCGAAACCCAAAAAAGCAGUCUCAGUUCGGAUUGAAGUCUGCAACUCGACUUCAUGAAGUCGGAAUCGCUAGUAAUCGCGGAUCAGAACGCCGCGGCGAAUACGUUCUCGGGGUUU
This 374-nucleotide ribosomal RNA is filed under the name uncultured Acholeplasma sp. Its description in RNAcentral is "bacterial SSU rRNA". It matches the Rfam family "Bacterial small subunit ribosomal RNA", at positions 1002 to 1382 of the family's 1533-position model. Lineage: Bacteria; Bacillati; Mycoplasmatota; Mollicutes; Acholeplasmatales; Acholeplasmataceae. The record is from RNAcentral.